AUGACGUCAUGGCCGGCGAAGGCCUUGGCUGCGGUGGAAGGUUUGGGAGCGGUCGCGCCGCCAUUUUGCUGCACAUUCAGUGAAGAACCUGCCCCAGACUGUUCCAUACCUCCACGGGAUGCAGACAGCCCAUACCAAGCAACCAUGGGGAGCCUGGGGGUCACUGUGGCCAGAGUUAAGUCAGCAGCCCAUUUCUUUCCCUGUCGCUGGAGGCAUUUGAGGCCAGGCUGGAUGUGGCUCUGGGCAGCCUGGCCUGGUGUUUGGCGACCCUGCACAUAGCAGGGUGGUUGAAACUUGAUCAUUGUGGUCCUUUUCAACCCAGGCCAUUCUAUGAUUCCAUGAUUCUUUUCCAGUCAGGCUGCUGUUCAUACUCUCUUAUGCUGGAAGAGAGAUGGCUUUUUCCUUGUCUUUUUUUCCGUUUUUUAUUUUGAGAGUUUGCUCCAUCUCUUUGCUAAUUUAAUGAAAAUGUUACAUAAAUAAAGUGCAGCUUUGCUUCACUAAGCAGAGGAAUGGAACAGCAUUUUGCUUGAGUUGUAUUCAAGAUCGAAAUUAGUGCUCAACAGGCAGCACUGGACUGCACAGUCAGCAAUUUUAGAGAGCUGGAGGAGUAAGGAUCUUUUUUCCCUUGGACUGUAAGAAAAGGCCGUACAGAUGAAGCUAUCAAUGCAAAUGAUAGCUAACCUUGCCAGCCAGUAGCUCCUCUUCUGUAGUAAUUCACUGGUCCUAUGUCCAUGGCCAUUUAGCCUGUGCAACAUGUUGCAUGUAGGGCUGGCCUGGUUUGACUUCAGUGUGCAAACAGUUCCUUAGGGUGACACUCUGUUCUAUCAGGCAAGGUUUUAACUGCUUGUUUGCCCAAUGUGAGCAGAAAAAAACAAAACCCUUAUUUAAGAUUGGGACAUAAAAAAAUUCUUUCUCCAAACUGGACAUUGUGGCCACACCAUAAUGUCGUGUUACCUUAUUUCUUGAUCCUAGUUACUGGUUUCAGGGAAGAUAAAGCCAUCUUGCUCCUAACAAAGUCAAUGAGAUUAGGUGCAAGUCCCAUUUUUUUCUCACUCGAGCUAAAAUGCCAUGUGCUUAUUGAAAUGUGACCAACGUUAGGUCUUUUCACGUCUGUAAAUUUGAACUUGACUUUUUAACGUGUUUUAAAUAAAGUUGCUUC
This 1159-nucleotide long non-coding RNA is filed under the name Gallus gallus (chicken). Lineage: Eukaryota; Metazoa; Chordata; Aves; Galliformes; Phasianidae. The record is from RNAcentral.